GGGAGACAGCUUGGAGGGGACUGAGCAUGCUGCACUCCAAAGAUGCAUGGAGGGAACUGGCCCCUUCUCCCAGGGUAUCCCAACUUUUUUGACUGGGUGAAAAGAAGGAACAAGAUAUCCUCUUGUCAUGUUCCAUGGCGCUCUUCUGGUAGCAUCAUUCAAUAACAUCAGUAACCAGAGACUAUUUCUGCGGCAUUUGACUGUCUGUUGGUCAAUAAACAUUUGCAGCAAAGAAG
Anser brachyrhynchus (Pink-footed goose) is the source of this 236-nucleotide long non-coding RNA. The record is from Ensembl. NCBI's taxonomy places the organism in Eukaryota, Metazoa, Chordata, Aves, Anseriformes, Anatidae.